Molecule: long non-coding RNA, 12164 nt
Filed under: Triticum aestivum (bread wheat)
Lineage: Eukaryota; Viridiplantae; Streptophyta; Magnoliopsida; Poales; Poaceae
Description: long non-coding RNA (TAES_LNC011694)
Rfam family: U2 spliceosomal RNA (bases 10647-10843)
Source: RNAcentral
UCGGCCGCGCCUAUAUAUAGGAGCCCUCCGAGCUCGUCCAGCCACACCACCCACCUUCUCUGAUCUCCACACUUCUUGUAGAAGGCCACGGCCAGGCCAGGCGGGCCUCUGGCCGCCGUUUCGCAUCGGAGAUCGCCGCCGAUCCCCUCUCGGUGCCCUACUUCCUCCGACGCUCCUCGAUGUCUUCCACCUCCUCUGGCGUGUUCGUGGUGUUCUCCUAGUCGUGUUGGUGCUGCUGGAGCUGCCGGAAUGCCCCUACCUUGCCAGAAUCCUCAACUCCGACGAACCGCCUUCACCGACGCCUCUGGAGACGACCACCACGAUGCUGUCCUCCACCUCUGACUGAGCUAUUGGUACGUGUGUGUUCACCGUGAAGUGCCACGUCCAUCUAUCCACUCGCCGGCGACAGCCGUGGCCUCCUCACCGGAGAACCACCGACGACCGAGCGCCGUCCCCUGCCUCUCUCUCUCUCUCUCUCUCUCUCUCUAACCCUGCUAGUGGGGCCCGCCUGUCAGCCUCACUGUUCGCCCGCCAAAGCGGUAUAAGUGGAAGUGUAUUCCACAAAUACGCUUUCGACGUCACCCCCUCUGGUUAUUUUCAAAAAUCAGUUUAAUUUAUAAAAUUGACCAAACUUUGACCAACUCUAGAUUCUAUUCUACAAGUCCAAAUGAGAUGAUUCUUUUUGCAUUGGUUUGUUUUUUUAGCUCCUCUUUUAGCAUGCAAAAUAUGAGAUUUUUGCUUGCUGUAAAUCUUUUCUGGUGUAUUUAAAAGUGUUAUGUGACAUUUUCUUUUUGCCAUUUUCAUUGUUUUCAGAGGGAACUUGCUGCCUUGAGGAGAACCAGGAGGAGUGUGAACCUCCUCUGCACUAAGGCAAGCCAUCACAAAUAUUUGCAAGAGUGUCAUUUCAAUAAGUAUGAUUUUCACUUGAAUAUGGUCCCAUAUAAUGCAUAUAGAAAAAGAUGAGAUUUUUGCUUGCUGUAAAUCUUUUCUGGUGUAUUUAAAAGUGUUAUGUGACAUUUUCUUUUUGCCAUUUUCAUUAUUUUCAGAGGGAACUUGUUGCCUUGAGGAGAACCAGGAGGAGUGUGAACCUCCUCUGCACUAAGGCAAGCCAUCACAAAUAUUUGCAAGAGUGUCAUUUCAAUAAGUAUGAUUUUCACUUGAAUAUGGUCCCAUAUAAUGCAUAUAGAAAAUUAAAUAAUAUAACUUGUGCUAGUUUCAUUUCCGUGCUAUGCUUGUAAUGUUUUCAGUGUUAUUUAAGUUGUUUGGUUAAGGUUAUGCAGUAGGGUAACAUGAUCAUGAGCACGAGUAAGUUCAUACCGGUAUUAUGUUGAAAUGGUGCAUAUAUAUAGGUCAUUGCAUUUUCAUGGCAUACUAUGACUCAGAAAUAAUUCUUUGCAAGUUGAAACCUAAUAAUAAUCCAACUUGAACAUGUUGUUGAUCGAGUCAUGGUGUCACCGAAUCGAGCUUCCCAGUGCAACCACAUGUGCCUUUAUGGGGAGGCCCUUUCUCGUUCUGUUGUUAUGCCUCUCGCCGGUGCCUCCAACUAGGGAAGGUUAUGCGCUUGCGCUACCCUGGCCUGGUAGGCAGGCAUAGCCUUGUGUGCUCGUAGUUGAUUUGGUACCAUUAUCUCCAUUUGGGAUCGUUUGUUUUGCCACGACGGUGGUCGUUGGGUGUCAUGAGGUGACAUCGGGGCCACCCAGGACUUAGCCCAAAGGGGAGUUGGUCGGAGUGGCUGGGAGAGUGUCAUGGCAAUAGAUUGGUUCUGUUGGAACGUCGUUGGUCCACCCUAAUGGGAGUUCGAGGCAAUGGGUUCUGUGGUGUAGGUAUAAUGUACUACCUAUGCAGAGUGUGUUUAAUCUAUCGAUAGAUGCAUCCUCGGUCAUGGACACAAUUCAUAGUAGGUCACACCGUGGAUCAACAGAAAUACUGAACCUGCACACUAAAGUUAUACUUGUGGCACUUGUUAUGUUGGUGGAGUUGUUGAGACCGUCAAGAUGGUUUCUUUUGUGAUCCGGAGGUGAUCACCGUGGUAAGAUGUUCAUGGUUCCGAGGUAACCAAGAUGGUAAGCGGGUCUGAGAGACUCCGUUUGCGGGCACGGUCACUUCAUGAGUAGCAUGCUUAGUUCUUGCAUUGAACCUGCUUAAAUAUCAUGUUGUUGUUUGCCAUUGUUGCUUUAUUUGUGUGAGCUUGUGAGUACAUUCAAAGUACUUACCUGGCGUGUCAUGCUAGUUUCAGGAGAAGUCAUACCGUAGUUGGAGUUGCAUCGUUGCAUCGCAGUCUAGACCGUGUCCACAUCGGUGUCCUUGUGAGAUGGAGUUCCUCUACGUCGUCGUUCCGCUGCCGCGUAGCUUUAUUGUCGUGCUCGAGGUCCCUAUCAUGUUCAUUAAAUAAUGUACAUAUGUGCAACAGCACCGUGUGUGCCGCUUGGCCUCGCUAUCUGAUGUACUAUCAAACCUAUGCUUCAAUAAAGUGGUUGUCUUUCUGUACCAAGUUAUUGUGUGUUGCCAGAAGACAUGAUCCAUGGGUUGGCAAUGCAACGUAAACCGGUUGCUCUGAGCUGGGGUGCCACAGAGUAGCACCAAAAUCAUGCCAUCCAAGCCACCGCCGAUGGGCACCACCACAACAGCAUGACAAUUCUGAUUUUGGCAAAAGUUGUCAUCAUUCCUAGACUAUUUAAGUUGUUAUAGGUGAUGAUGGUGACAUUGUUCAUUGUCCGCUAGUUUUUAGGGCCAUAUUAAAGACUUAGGGUGGUAAUACAUUCAUAGAGGACGAGUUCCUGCACUCUCACUGGGACAGAAGCAAUGAGUUCUUCAUCACCCGAUCGUCUGGCCUCAGCAGCAAGUUCAUGACCCACCUUGUUACACUCCCUAGUAGCAUGUCCGACUAGUUUUUUUUAAUACGGGAAGGGGACCAAAAGGUCGCCAAAGCUAUUGGUUAUUACAUUAAAUAAAAGUGAUACAAAACUAUAAGGACACUAAAAGAAACAGAAAUUACAACCACAUCCUCUCUUUUUGCAAACAAGACUUCGUCAUAGCUAUUUUGCCACCAACCCUGGUUGAACCUUGCCAUCACCCAGCGAAGGAACGAGGGCCUCACCAUGGAGGUUGGAUAGGGUAUGCCGGAACUUGCUUGUUUGAUCUCUUGUUCCAAAGGUUGAUCUUGAUGUGGGGGAAGAAGAUUGACAUAUAAGCAUCCACGCAGCUUCGAAGUCCCUAAGGAUACGAGAUAUGAAUGGGGAAACAUCUAUCCACCCUCCUUCUUUCCGCCUAUAUGACGAUGGAGAAGGAGGAGAGUGAAAGCCCGAUGCAUCGAAUCCACCACUCCAUGAAGCUUGCUAAGGGAUAGAACAAAAAACAAACUUCCUUCCUACUUCUCUAGCCUCCACGGCCGCGGAGAGGAAGGAACAAUCCACUAGCAACCGAUGCCACCCGUAGGCACUAGAAUACAUCUAAACCGCAACGCUAGUUGCCACCAAGGCUAUCCUAUAAUACUCAUAAACCUAGCCCUAACAUCUACAAUGACAACCCCGCCACCUCUCCCACCCCCCUGCUAGCUGAUGACGCCGCCCGAGGAAGAGGGAAGAGGAGCUAAGAAGCUUCAGGGCGACUCUCAAGAUGUGGAGGGGACAAAAUGAGGGGCCUCCAUUACCUCUCCCACGUCCCUCUUUAUUUUCCAUGUGGCGGUUAUAUAUGGGUUUGAUCAAAUAAGGAAAAAGCGAAGUGGGUACUUAACCUCAUUUUAUACGAAAAAACUACAUUAUACUGAACUUGUUCUAUAGUUUUUUUAGUUAGAUAAAUAAUAAAAUACACAAAACAAAUCAAUCGAUCAUGUAACAAAUUAUCCCUCGAAACGCUAAAGGUGACCUUGGCAACUUUAGAUAUACGGUACCACACACACACUUCUUUCAAACAUGUUUUCAACCUUCCUCACUUCAACCAAAACAUUGGCACCAUUCAAUGACAACUCCAUCAAAUUACUUAGGGUCGUUCAUUUUUAUAGUCCAUCAAAUUAAGGUUGGUGGCCCCGCUAUUCUUUUACAGUACAUCAAAUUACUUAGGGCCGUUCAUUUUUCCCACAUACCAGGGCUUCUGCCCUCUACUGUUCCAGACCAUGUUGCCAUCUUCACCAUCUUUGAUGACACUUGCAGAUUUCUUCAAGGCUAGCUAGUUCUGAAAAUCAGCAGGCUCCUACUCACCUGGUCACCAUCGUCGUCACCAUCGUCGCGGCCAUGGUCCUCCUAUCGGCCUUGCUAAAUUUAUCGCGUUUACUUCACUAAUACAACAUACCAACAUGAGACCAAAGGCCAAGAUAUUUAACUGAGGGGGGCCAGAACUUGUUUAUGGGAGGGAUCACAUGAGAAUUUUUCUGAGUCCUUUUACAGUACAACAAAUUACUUAUGACCGUUCAUUUUUCCCAACCAACUGUCUAGAAUAGGCAAUACUGUAGAAGAAUUCUAGUAGUAUAAUCAGGCUUCAAGGACAUUUGGGGUAGUUAAUUACUAUAAAUCCUACAAUUGUUUCCAUCAGAAGCAAGCUAAAGAGACUAGAUUAGAAUUUGAGGAUCGAUCCAACCAUUCAUUGAUUGAUUAUGGGUGUUGUCGGUCUGCACAUUGUUUAGAUGUACAGUGACAACCCCGCCACCUCUCCCACUCCCGUGCUAGCUGACAACACCACAAGGAAGAGGGAAGAGGAGCUAAGAAGCUUCGUGGAGACUCUCAAGAUGUGGAGGGCACAAAAGGAGGGCCCUCCAUUACCUCUCCCAUGUCCCUCUUUAUUUGCCUUAGCCUGAUUUUAUAUAGAAAAAACUAAUCCCUCCGCCCCAAAAUAAGUGUCUCAAUUUGUACAACUUUUCUAUAGUUUUUUCAGUGAGACAAAUAAUAAAUAUACAAAACAAAUUAACCAAGCAUGUACUCCCUUCGUAAAGAAAUAUAAGAGCAUUUAGACGACUAAAGUAGUGAUCUAAACGCUCUUUUAUAUUUCUACACAGAGGGAGUAACAAAUUAUCCCUGGAAAUGCUAAAGGUGACCUCGGGAAGUUUAGAUAUCCUGUACCACACACUUCAAACAUGUUUUCAAGCUUCCCCACUUCAGCAAAAACAUCGGCCCCAUUCCAUGGCAACUCCAUAUCAGUUUGGUGUUUUUAAGAACACCAUUUCCAUUAGCUAGACUACAAUGUUAUCAGACAACAUUAAUACAACAUCCGAUGCAGCCACAUAUAGAAAAAAUACACUAAUCUAAAGCCAGCAAAAGAAGAGUAAAUUUAGUGUUCGUCACAGGAUUCCAGCAAUAUUUAUCUCCCUUUUGCUGACAUAGGAGGAACAGAGUUCCAAUCCUCACAGCCCUCUGAUGCUACCGACGAAGGUUCAUUUGAUUUAACUCAUGGUGAUAAUAGGUUUCGGUUUCUCCUCCUCCUUGUUCUCAGCCGCUACAGCAUGCGGUCUGCGCUGAUGCUGCACAACCGCGAGCUGAUCCACAAAAAGCAGUUCCCGUAAGUGAUGGAGCUGCUCCCUCUCUUUCUCCAUAAGCAGCUCUUUCUGCUCAAAACGGCUUAUCUUAUCCUGGAUUUCCUUCAUCUGAGGAUGAUUUAAAGCAAUAGAUAACAAGUCAAUAUAGACACCAACUUUUAAGCAGUAAUAUCUUGAAACCCCUAUCUUGAUACCUGGACGUCCACUAUGGCCGAUAAAGAUUGCUCUAUAUCUUUUUGCUCCUUUUGAAGUUGCACUUGUGCAUUUGUGGAUGCCUCUUUGAGUAAAUCGUUGGCUGAAAGCCCAUUAGUGUAAGAAGAUUCUGCAGAGAAAACUAAUUGAGCCAAGAGAAGAGCCUUUUGAAUAUUCAAAGUAUUUCUAAGAAAGAAUGGCAAACUAAAUCACGGUGUGCAUUUCAGCAUGUAGCAGCAAGAAUGUGAAUUUGAAUCGCGCCACAUAAGGAACUUGGAUACAGGCCCACAGCCUAUUCUUUGCACAUGCACCAAUUAUGACUUAUCUUGCUGCUCCCGGCACCAGUAGUGAAUUAUGUGAAAUGUAGCAAAACUAUCAAAUACAUGUACGCAUUCAUGUAAAAACAAUUAUGUGAAAUUUAUUGAUAACCAUGUAUUUGACCCUACAGAGUUAGGGGACUGGCACCGCCACUGCCUAGCGCAUUACUUGAGCACUCUUGUUACCACACCCGUCAAAUUAUCAUUGUUUGAACAGUGACAAGCAAAGCAGUAUGUUCAUCAACAAUGCAACAUCGAUAAGAUAUAUGGGUUAGAGAGCACAAGUUGCUACCUUCUUCUUUAGUGCUGCUGAUUGGAGAAUCAGUCUGGCUGUCAUUCAUAUCAACCUGGGAUUGUGCAGAAAUAGCUGCUUGCGCUGCUGCCGCCGCAACACCUGAGCCAACAAUUGCCGACAAGAACGCGACCUGGUAAAACAAUGCAGUUCCAUGAUUUGCUCCAUCAAUAAAUUUCCACGUUCAAACUAGAUGACCAUAUAAGGCAGCUAUUCAGGCAUGAUGGGGACCAGCAUGUACACUUGUUUUGUGUACACAUGUGCAAAAAUUCUAUGAAUAGAAAAUUCAGGAAUUAUUUUUAAUUUCCUUGUCAAAAAACUCGUAGUGUUUCGUGUCUGAAGAAAAGAACAUAACUUAUACAUCAGAACCUGAACGUAUUCAAGUACAGUACGUGUUUUCCAUCUGUUCACAUGAAUAGCACAGCAUAAGUGGAAUGCUCAAGAUAUACUACAAGUUACUACUAAUUAACACAAAGACUAAGUUAUACUCCCUCUGUCCCAAAAUUAGUGUCUUAACUUUAGUACUCCCUCCGUCCGAAAAAGCUUGUCCCUCAAAUGGAUGUAUCUAGCAUCAAAUUAGUGCUAGAUACACCCAUUUGAGGGACAAGCUUGGGACAAGCUUUUUCGGACGGAGGGAGUACAACUCUAAGCUAUAGAUUACCAUGCUCUAUGAUUACUGCUGCAACACUUGAUAUAGUAAGUUAGCAACAUGUGACAUCCACAUGUGGUACCAAAACCGAAUUGUACUACAAACUGAUCGUUACAUGUUAUCAUUUCAUCAAGUACAAAACAAGAGAAGAUACCCCGCGCGUUGCUGCAGGAAUGUGUUGCAAUUAUUUCAGUGAUAUUUAGUUAUAUGAAACAUCACUAUAGGAACUAAUAAUAUGAGAAAUGAAACUAAAAUACAUACUCCCUCCGUCCCAAAAUAAGUGUCUUGAGCUUAGUACAAAUUUGUACUAGAGCUAGUACAUAGUUGAGACACUUAUUUUAGGACGGAGGGAGCAUAAUUUAUUGUAUUUGAUGAUUAUAUAGUUGUAGAAUAUUUAAUGAAUAUAAGUAGCAUGCAGCAUGGUGCAUAUUAAGGUGAGCCUUUUCCCAUGCAUGGUGGUAUGUUGAGUUGGCAUAGUUGCAUGUUAAGGGAACUAAGUUAUUGGGGAUCAAUUAUAUAGGUAUAUAUAGGAUGAGUGAGAAGUGCCCUACUCUUAUGAAUCAUUAAUUUUGAAUACUGAACUGCUUGUACCAGUCAAGGGAGUUAGCACCUACAAAAACUGGGCAAAGUCACAGAUACAGACCUGAGCCAUAAUUGGAUUGCUUGCAUCUGCCAGUGGUGUGAGACGGAGUCGUUUUGGGAUCUCUGCUCUAGAUUCAUUAGUAACAUCAUCAUCAAUCUCAAACUCCAUUUUCUGCUCCUUGGAUCCCAUGAACUGUUCUCCAAAAGAUAAUCGGAUGAGUCUAGCAAUGCAGUCUUUCUCUGAGCGACUACCAACAUGCUCCGAAACCUUCUUCCAGUCUUCUCCAUAAUGCAAGACAGCCUCAAGUAGGUGAAGAGUUUCCUUGUCUGUCCAAUCUGAUUUGGCGUCUUCGCUAAUUUCAACUUUCUUGAAGUCCGCUGGAGUAAGACCAGGCCGAUAGUUGCCACGCACAAAGCAUCUACAACAUAUGCUUAUAUCCGCCUGAUCAUAAGCAAAAGUUAAGGAUAGAAAAUAGCAACUCUUCUAAUUAAAAUAGACAACAAAUUGAUAACAGUUCCAGCUAAAAUAUAAAGAAUGAUGUGAUGACAGUAGCUCAACUGAUAAAUAUAGCAGUCAUGGACAUAAAACAAAAUCAAGAGGCAAACACAGGCCAAAUAAAGUGUUCCAAGCUUCACAGACUCAAAAGUUAAAAUGGAUGAAAUUACUACACUGUUUGCAAAUAUUUAAUACUCCCUCCGUCCGGAAUUAGUUGACGCUCAAACAGAUGUAUCUAUUUAGCACUGAAAUAGAUACAUCUGUUUCAGCGUCAACUAAUUCCGGACGGAGGAAGUAUAUGAUUUGUGAUAAUACCCUCCCGUUCAUGGCAUGUUUAAGUGAACUGGAAGUAGUUCAAAAUGAGCUGUAGUAAUCCAUCUAACAACGUCAACCCAAGAGUGGCAAUGCGCAAAGACACAGUAGUACAGUACAAAUAAAAACAAAAGUUUGACAAUACAAUAUUCAUAUGAAGAGCAAGUACACUUGACUUAAAUUUAUAAGCAACUGUAUACAUACAUAUGCAAUUACCAGUUCCCAAAACAAAAGAUACACCAUUAAGUUAUCAGUUUGCUCAUCUGUCCCAGCGCCCUUUCUAUGGCACAAUAUCAAACCAGCUAAGCCAAAACCAAAGAUCAACCAGGAAUAUCUCCAAUCCGAGCACACAAAUUUCUCAACACAUGGGCAAACUCAUAAGUAGCGAACAAACGCUACCCCGUGGCUUUCUCUAUCAGAUUAAGAACCCUUUACAAGAUCUGCCUGGACGUUAAAGAUACCAGGAUAGGUUGGGAUGGUGUCAGGUUUAGAAGAACUUUAACUGGUGAGAUUUUGGAGAUUUGGGAAGAAGUUAGGGACUUGCGUGAGCAUAUUGAACUUACUAAUGUGGCGGAUUCAGUUAACCGGACACUAGAUCCAGCACAUUGUUUGUGAGGCAGUGCGGACAGUUUUGCUUGUGGCUGUGCUUUUCACUAGCUUGUGUAUGGUAGUUUGUAAGGUUGCGCUAUAGGAUAUUCUGUUUUCCGUCGUUGGUUUGCUGGUAGACAUUGCCUUUUGUUUUCUUUCCUUACUUAUCUUCUGGCCUGUGUACCAGUUACUUUCCUGUUUACUUUCGUUGUACUGAACUGCUUUGAUUUCUGGUAAUGAAACCAGGGUUUUUCCCCUUGUUAAAAAGAAAACCGUUCCCCAAUUACAUUGCAUAAAUAAUAUGAAUAUCCAUAAUUUGCGACUUAAUGUAGUGCUUUUUAUAAUGGCACAAAACCCAAAGAGGUCGCUAUAGCCAAUUGGAAAUACUCAUAUGGAUGAGCUAAGAUAGUUCUAACCAGAUACUACAAAUGAUGCAUACGAUGCACAUAUUACAUAACCUGAAAUGCAAGUUUACACAGCACUUGAAAAUCAAAACAAUGGCAAAUCACUCACCUUAUCGCAGGUGAAAUAUGCAGAGCCGCAGACGCUCCGGCACCCUACACAGAGCUUCUUGGGUGUGGUUGGUCCGGCAGGCAAUGAAGACUGAGAAGUCGUCGCCUCCUCCCUCUUGUCUUUCCCCUGCUUCGCCCCCAGCGCAGGAGCACCAUGGUUGAUGAGCCCCCAUUCCUCCAGGAAGUCAAACACACGGCGCACAGAGCCAACGUCGCCGAUAAGGCCUCGCCUGGCCUCGGUGAGCGUGAGCCGCCGCGCUGGCCUUGCCCGGAACCUCUUGACGAGGGUGUUGCGGUAGUACUUGUAGGCCUCCGGGCCCCGGGACCCAGACACGGCCGCGACCUCCCCUUCGAAGAACUCCGGCAACAGGCGGCGCUCCGUGUCGCUGAUGCUGUCGUAGGAGAACCACCCUGCAAGCGGAGCCCUCGGUCAGGUAGGGUUCUAGGUCUUCGCGUUCACUAGACGCNNNNNNNNNNNNNNNNNNNNNNNNNNNNNNNNNNNNNNNNNNNNNNNNNNNNNNNNNNNNNNNNNNNNNNNNNNNNNNNNNNNNNNNNNNNNNNNNNNNNNNNNNNNNNNNNNNNNNNNNNNNNNNNNNNNNNNNNNNNNNNNNNNNNNNNNNNNNNNNNNNNNNNNNNNNNNNNNNNNNNNNNNNNNNNNNNNNNNNNNNNNNNNNNNNNNNNNNNNNNNNNNNNNNNNNNNNNNNNNNNNNNNNNNNNNNNNNNNNNNNNNNNNNNNNNNNNNNNNNNNNNNNNNNNNNNNNNNNNNNNNNNNNNNNNNNNNNCCUCGGCUGAGGCUCCCACGGCGGCGACUCCGGCGGCGGUGGCGGCGGAGGUGGAGGCGGGAGGGAUCUCCGUCUUUAGGGUACCGGCAGUGGACGGGGGCUGGGAGAAGGGUGGGGCCUUGAACGGUGACUGCGUAGGCGUCGGCGCGGAGUUGGCGGUGGCCGGGGGCACCGGAGCCGGCGGUGUGGCCAUCGGAGACGGGGCAGCCGGUGGAGCGCUCUCUCUCGGUCCGUUUCCUCCGACGCUGCUGCUAAGCGUGUAGUUUGGGCCUUAUCUUUUUUACUCGCAACGAGGCCGUUACUCGCAACGAGGCCGUCAACACUACACGCUUACCUUUCGCUGCCCUGCCUCGCUUAUCUUUUUUACUCGCAACGAGGCCGUUAGUCCCACCUCGCCUGCGCUGAGCGGAGGGAGCCGGGAGAGGUGUAUAAAACGAGAGGCAGGGCAGCGAAAGAAGUCAUACCUUUGUCGGCCUUUUGGCUAAGAUCAAGUGUAGUAUCUGUUCUUAUCAGUUUAAUAUCUGAUAUGUGGGCCAUAUGCCCACAAUGAUAUUAAAUUUAUUUUUUAUGAGGGUGGGUCCAUCACAGUAGCUUGCUGCUGGGGCUCAUAUGUGUCGCUUGGAUGUUGCACCGCUGCCCUGGCCUGGUGCACCCCAACCAAAACAAAUCAAACUUUUUUUCAUAAAGCAUACAAAACAACCUGUUCUUUCCUCUCAAGGAAAUAACUGUUCUUUGGCUUCCUCACCUUUGCUAAUCUCAAUUCUCAAACAAAGUAAAUGGUAAACAAACAAUGUGGGCCUAAAUAUGAAAAGAGACUAUAUAUGAAAAGAGCAAUUACUACUAUAUAGAUAAGCCGGGGAGAUGCCCCGCACCUCUUAUACAAUUACAAAAACCCAGUGACAACGAUACAUUUUUCCAACUCAGUGCCAACAAUACUUGUUUAAUCAUACCAUUUCAAGGUAUCAUAGUGUUAUUCACGCAUUCUAAUCAACUGACUAGAAGUACAGACCAGCAUGCCGCCUGAAUGAUUACAUAUGACAAACAUUACAAUGUUUUCGCACCACCACUUGACAUGAGUGAGGCGGCGGCAGCAGCAGCGGUCGGGACGAUUCCAGUUGAAUUGCCUGGUUUGGAGAGAUGCAGCAGCCUGCAACAAUGUUCGUGGUCCCACGUGAGUGACGAUUAUUCAAAAGAAGACGCGUGGAGAUUAUCGAACUGAGGUAUCAAAAUUCAGGUUGAGCGUACUUACGGUGCUAGAUAUUCACAGAACGAGGUGACAGCUGAAACAACAUCAUUGUAAUUGUUAGCAGCGGCUGGAGCUGUGAUCUCCACCAGCUGUAUUCCAGGAGUGACCUGCACAGCUUCGUCGGUCGCAUGGAGCUUUGGCAUCUUGUUGGCAGAAGUCACAGUCACGGUGAACUGGGCACCUCGCUGGAAGCGAAACGCAAAGCCAACCUUCAAGAUUUCAUGAUCUAACUUGUAGCCGAUGCCGUAGAAGUAACGCAACACAUUGCUGCUGGCUUUGCUUUCUACGAUUGUACGCACAAGAAUUGAGAUUUGCUCUGCACCGGCACCUCUCAUGGCACCACCAACAUGUCUUAUGGUCCUACAUACAAAUAUUACCAGCUGCAGAUUAGUGUAAAAUUACGAGGAAGAGUAAAUUUCAGCAGCUUAACACAAUCAGUUACCAGGAUGGUGUAGGCUGCGCUAAAUCACACAACAAACGAACCUCUGAUGGGACAGCUCCUGUACGACUGAAAGAGGUCAGCAGAUAUAACAAUUGCUUUUUUGCUAAAAAAGAAACAAUUGCUUCUGAUCCUGACGACAGAAAGAUAAAAAAACUAACCUAGCAUUGGUACACUUUUAAGACAGAGCUCAUGCACCCUCACACGUUCCUUUGGGACACCAGAGAGGCCCUGGAGAAGAACCUCCAGAGCUUCAACAUGCUGCAUAGUGCAUACCCAAAGGAAAAAAAAAA